RNAcentral lists this ribosomal RNA (300 nucleotides) under uncultured Roseiflexus sp. RNAcentral describes it as "partial 16S ribosomal RNA". The stretch from base 68 to 300 matches the Rfam family "Bacterial small subunit ribosomal RNA", at positions 563 to 795 of the family's 1533-position model. Lineage: Bacteria; Bacillati; Chloroflexota; Chloroflexia; Chloroflexales; Roseiflexaceae. The record is from RNAcentral.
GUGGAGUAGGGGGUAGAUAGGGGGGUAGAGCGUGGGGUGCGAGGGUGGGGGGGAAGUAGGGGGGGUGACGUGGUGGGAGGAGGCAUGCCGGGGUGGAGGGGAAAGACCGGGGGGUAAUCCCGGAGCGGCAGUAGAUAGGGGCGGUCGGGAGUGGGGUAGGUGAGAGCGGAAGUCGUGGUGGAGCGGUGAAAUGCGCAGAUAUCAGGAGGAACACCGGUGGCGAAGGCGGAUCUCUGGGCCAUGACUGACGCUGAGGAGCGAAAGCGUGGGGAGCGAACAGGAUUAGAUAGCCCGGUAGUG